Long non-coding RNA from Rosa rugosa (rugosa rose), 984 nucleotides. RefSeq lists it as uncharacterized. NCBI's taxonomy places the organism in Eukaryota, Viridiplantae, Streptophyta, Magnoliopsida, Rosales, Rosaceae. The transcript has 5 exons. The record is from RefSeq and is a predicted model, not a curated record.
CAUCUCCGAGCUCCAGGUAUCUCUCUCUCCCAGUCUCCCUCUCCGUCUUCUUCUACUCCUCUUCCUCUUCUUCUUCUCUUCUUAUCUUCUUCUUCUUAAUCUGAUUGAAUCAUGAAUCACCCAUUUGAAAUUGAAAUUGAAUUCCUCAAAGUAAUGAAAUUGUAUGUAUGAAUGUAUCCUGAUAAUCUGAAUAUGUUGGUCUGGCCCAGAUUGGAGCUACUUUCAUGGCCAGGCGGCCAGCAGAAUCUAGAUGACUAGAUCGGGAAAAUCGAUCCCAUUGAUCUGCUAUGAUGCUUCUUUGCUUCGGUCAAUCUCGACCAAACGAUUACCUCAAUGAAAAUUGAAAUCCAGAAAGAAAGAGACGAGACGAAACAAAGAGAGAGAAGAGAGAACGGGGAAGAAGGAAAAGAAGGAGAAGAAGGUUUAGGGUCUUGAUUCAUCUACCCAUAAAAGGAUAAUUGAUUGAUUGAUUGUCCUAUUUGCACCGACUUCGGCGUUUACACCGACUUCAACUUUGUCAUCAAGAUCGAUCUUGAUCAAAAUUUGGUUUUCUAAGUUCUAUGCAAAGAAAUGUGUGCAUUAUUCUUCUGCCGCUGUUCCUGUGUACGUUGUUUGGCAUUAUCUCAGUCUCUUAUUCCUAUUCAGUUUUUGUUGGAUCUUUUGGACUGCUUGCUUUUGGUGCAAAGAGUUUUCUGAUCGGUGGGUUACAUUUUGAUAAACGGUGUCAGAUCUAUGCAUUUGUUUUUAUGCAGCUCAAAGAGAGAAGAUAAGUGAAGCUAAUCAAGGUAUGCUUUGGAUCUACAUAUGUGAUUAAUCUGGAGGUUGCUUGGGCUCCAUUUUGUUUAAGGAAAAGAGACUUUGUGUGGGACACUAAUUUUAUACUUUUUGUUCUUUUGGAAAGUCUCUUUUGAUAUUGAAAUGUUGACGUGUUGUUGUGGAGGAACCAAAAGAUAUCAGCUAGUGUUUUAACUGCUGCAUUUCAAC